CUCCUAUACGUAGCCUAAACUUAUUAUUUAAAGUUGAGUAUAGCUAUAUAAAUAAAUGGUACUCUCAUUCUCUAGUAGUUUUAGUUUUUUUUCCCCAAUUUUUUAUAUGGCAGAUUCUUCAGAAAAAAAUUCUUCCUCUGAUUAUUUUUGUGCUGAUUUUAAAGGAAAAAUAUUGACUAAAGUUGAAACUGAAUUCAGUGAAGAUGAAGAAGCUUUGAUAAUCAGUAUGUACAAUUUGCUUGGCAAGAGGUUUCUUAACUUCUUCAUAAAUUCAAUAAUACAAUAGGCAUGACAAAUCAUACAAGCAUAUAUAUAUAUAUAUAUAUAUACUCGAGUAAUAACUCAACAUCAAAAAUAAAAUAAUCAAAA
This is a long non-coding RNA of Solanum lycopersicum (tomato), 369 nucleotides long. RefSeq lists it as uncharacterized. Lineage: Eukaryota; Viridiplantae; Streptophyta; Magnoliopsida; Solanales; Solanaceae. The record is from RefSeq and is a predicted model, not a curated record.